This is a long non-coding RNA of Dermacentor albipictus, 428 nucleotides long. RefSeq lists it as uncharacterized. The record is from RefSeq and is a predicted model, not a curated record. Lineage: Eukaryota; Metazoa; Arthropoda; Arachnida; Ixodida; Ixodidae.
CCAUACCAUACCAUACCGUAGCCACCACGGUACCGCUGGUACGCUCACCAGCUCACAGAGCAUCCGUUGAGGAGGCCGUGGUUCGGCGGGAUUCAGCUACGUGAUUUCUAUACCGCCACAAGCACGCUACCUGCCUCCACGCUGGAUGUACUACGCAUAGAAAGCGUUCGAGCAUGCAAGCCACGGCUCCGGCCAGUACAGCGACAAAGAAGACAGGAAGCCAGGAUCGCGAGACCACCAGCAAGCCAUCAGAGGUGUCGUGCAAAGGGAGCCCUUGGACUCCACUUGGACAAGCCAGCAAAGGUGGAAGGGCCCCAGUCAUUACACCUAAGUUUGACAUCCGGCAAGUGCAGCAUCCCGUGCAUAAUAAAGGGAUACGCUUAGCAACCGGUGCCUAUAUAAGGACCUAACCUAUUCCCAGUUUGCAU